Molecule: long non-coding RNA, 585 nt
Organism: Drosophila miranda
Lineage: Eukaryota; Metazoa; Arthropoda; Insecta; Diptera; Drosophilidae
Exons: 3
Source: RefSeq, a predicted model, not a curated record
CAGUUUAAUGGAUCUCAUAGAUCAAAUUAAAGGUUAUUGUACGAGGCGUCUUGAACUGGAAAAAAAUACCUUAAAUUGCAGCUAGCUGCUGCCGUUGCUGUUGAUCCUUGAUCCGUGUUGCGGCCGGACAUUGUCCUGGCCAAAAGGUAAUUCAAUUAAAAUGCAACAAAAAAUCGCCUGAGUGAAAACAAUUUCUUUCAUUGGCCACAUUUGCGGUGAACUGGCGAAGCCACCCGGAGCAGGAUGAUUUUCCCUGUCUUUCAGGACUCCGGGACUUGGGGGAACUGACUUGGGGGAAGUCUGGGGAACUGACAGAGCUGAAAGAGAUUUGUUUGCCCAAGUCAUCAACGGUACUGAAUAGGCCAAACAUGUGUAUGUACACAUGCUUGUGUAUACAAAUUUCGUAAUUAAAUUUUAAGUAAAUAUCAAUUCAAAACUGCAAAUGACAUUUUGUGCACCAAACGCCAUGCGGGUUGGGCUGGGCUGCUCUUUGAAAAUUGAGCAACCAAGAUGCUGGGCGAGCACUGGAGCACUGUAGCACUGGAGCACUGGAGGAGCAGCAACAACAACAACAACUGAAGCAGC